RNAcentral lists this ribosomal RNA (466 nucleotides) under uncultured bacterium. RNAcentral's name for it is "partial 16S ribosomal RNA". It matches the Rfam family "Bacterial small subunit ribosomal RNA", at positions 28 to 507 of the family's 1533-position model. The record is from RNAcentral.
GAUGAACGCUGGCGGCGUGCUUAACACAUGCAAGUCGAACGGUGAAAGAGAGCUUGCUCUCUGGAUCAGUGGCGAACGGGUGAGUAACACGUGAGCAAUCUGCCCCUGACUCUGGGAUAAGCGCUGGAAACGGCGUCUAAUACCGGAUACGAGCUGCGAAGGCAUCUUCAGCAGCUGGAAAGAACUUCGGUCAGGGAUGAGCUCGCGGCCUAUCAGCUAGUUGGUGAGGUAACGGCUCACCAAGGCGUCGACGGGUAGCCGGCCUGAGAGGGUGACCGGCCACACUGGGACUGAGACACGGCCCAGACUCCUACGGGAGGCAGCAGUGGGGAAUAUUGCACAAUGGGCGUAAGCCUGAUGCAGCAACGCCGCGUGAGGGACGACGGCCUUCGGGUUGUAAACCUCUUUUAGCAGGGAAGAAGCGAAAGUGACGGUACCUGCAGAAAAAGCACCGGCUAACUACGUG